Harpia harpyja (harpy eagle) is the source of this 823-nucleotide long non-coding RNA. RefSeq lists it as uncharacterized. NCBI's taxonomy places the organism in Eukaryota, Metazoa, Chordata, Aves, Accipitriformes, Accipitridae. The transcript is spliced from 2 exons. The record is from RefSeq and is a predicted model, not a curated record.
AAAAAGUGGAAGAAAAAGACAUCUCUCUCAUAAAGUUGUGCUCUGGUUUUAAUACUGCAGUGGCUGCUUUCUAAAGGGAUGGCAUCCAACUCUAGACUAAUGAGAAUCUGCUGCUUUAGAGCAUUGUUACUGGUGUGAAGAGGGUUAUAAAAGUAAAACCAUGCAGAGUGAUUACACACUAAUGCUCCAAUUUAUGUUUAGCUGAACAGACAGCUCACUAGGGAGCACUGAUUUGUGAACAGCUUUAAUUGUAUGAGGUGCCAGAUCUGCCUGGAAGUGUCUGAUAAUGAUAAGUGCUUUUUUAAUGCUCUGCUGAUGUCUACUUGUUCUAGACUACGGGUUCUCAAACUUUUCUGAGUGUAGAAAACAUCUUUUCAGAGAACAAAUUACCUGCAGAGCAUUGCCUUGACUUCCCCGAGUUUAACAAACCUGUAACUGGAACUGCUGGGCAACUACAGCAGCUGGAAAAGAAACACUGAGACAGCAGAGAGCCAUUAGGAUUUUAAAAACAACUUAGUGAGGAGGUGAAUAUUAUACCAACCUUCUAGGCUGGUUGGGUUUUUUUCUGACUAUUGGCAAGUGCUUUGAAGGCAGCUCAGUUGCCACAGACCAUCUCUGUUCAAGCCUGCCUGAAGCUUUUCAGCCAAAGUCCAAUUUGCGAAAUGCCAUCAACGUGAAAGGAACAGCUCUGGAUUUAAAAGCAAGCCAGUUGUUUUUGCAAGUCUGUGUUUGUGUACCAGAUCCGUGGCAGUGACCUGUUAACUUUUAGUUAAGCAAAAGAACCCAAAAAACCCCAACCAAAAAUAAAGUUGAUUCUUAACAA